Molecule: long non-coding RNA, 875 nt
Filed under: Fragaria vesca (wild strawberry)
Lineage: Eukaryota; Viridiplantae; Streptophyta; Magnoliopsida; Rosales; Rosaceae
Description: long non-coding RNA (FVES_LNC000301)
Source: RNAcentral
GAGCCCAAAUUUGGUAGCUAUGUUUUCUGCUUUUAGUUAUUUUUUUCUUUUUAAUGGUAACGUAUUUAUUGUUUUUGAUAAGGAGAGGUGGGCAUUGUCCUGGUCUGUGCACCUUAAGUGCCGUGUCUAGUCUAGGAUGGCAGCGAGUUCCUUGCAUCGUCAAAUGUUCAUUCCCUUCUAGUGGUAGAAUGAAACCAAAUGUCACCGGAUUUAUUUUUCGAUGGCACAUAGUGAGAAAGUUGUACUUAUUAGAAUUUUAUGGUUUUGCAUGAGCAUUAUCUUUCUGGUAUGCCUUCAAAACUGUAAAGUAAAUGGCCCCGAAGUAGCCAAUGAUGCGCUAUUUGCUAAAUGGUGCGUGGUAGAAUUAAUACAUCCGAUGUACUCCUAAUAAUAUUUCGGGAUAUUUUAUUAAGGCUUAUUGUCAAAUAGGAUUAGGCACUCCUAUGUCUUAUGGGACAUAGCCAGAAACCAUAAUUAAAAGGGUUAAGAGUUUAAACAAUAAUGUCACACAAAAUGAAAAUAUAAUCUUCAUUGAAUGAUAGGACGAUAGGACUUUUCAUCAAAUAAUGUCUUCGCUUCAUUGAAUGAUAGGACGAUAGGACUUUUCAUCAAAUAAUGUCUUCGCACUCGAUCUUGAACAUUAGGAUCGUAGUCUAAAAUUGGAGUCUGAAGUCACGGAUCUCCAGGAAGGUUCUCUAUGUUAAACUCGUUGACAUAAUGGUUUGACAUAACAAUAUCUUUAAAUGCAUUACUUGUACCAAUAUCUUCAUAUGCAUUACUUGUCGGGUGAGCUUGAUAUAGUAUUGAUGGAUUUGUCAAGUUUGCUUCUUUUGGAUGGUGUUCCGAAGUACCUUCGUUAUAUCUAUUUCUUUUUG